RNAcentral lists this ribosomal RNA (467 nucleotides) under uncultured bacterium. Its description in RNAcentral is "partial 16S ribosomal RNA". It matches the Rfam family "Bacterial small subunit ribosomal RNA", at positions 29 to 507 of the family's 1533-position model. The record is from RNAcentral.
ACGAACGCUGGCGGCGUGCUUCACACAUGCAAGUCGCACGGAAAGGCCCUGCUUUUGUGGGGUGCUCGAGUGGCGAACGGGUGAGUAACACGUGAGUAACCUGCCCUUGACUUUGGGAUAACUUCAGGAAACUGGGGCUAAUACCGGAUAGGAGCUCCUGCUGCAUGGUGGGGGUUGGAAAGUUUCGGCGGUUGGGGAUGGACUCGCGGCUUAUCAGCUUGUUGGUGGGGUAGUGGCUUACCAAGGCUUUGACGGGUAGCCGGCCUGAGAGGGUGACUGGCCACAUUGGGACUGAGAUACGGCCCAGACUCCUACGGGAGGCAGCAGCGGGGAAUAUUGCACAAUGGGCGGAAGCCUGAUGCAGCAACGCCGCGUGCGGGAUGACGGCCUUCGGGUUGUAAACCGCUUUCGCCUGUGACGAAGCGUGAGUGACGGUAAUGGGUAAAGAAGCACCGGCUAACUACGUG